GUACAAUCUUCCAAGAUGGCGUAGCAGUCAGACGUCUUGUUCUGUCGUGUCCCUUGUAUAUAUCGUUUGUACAUAUUUUUAUUCGCAUAUCUUUUUAAAUAUUUUGCUAAACCUCAACCUCUAAAUACUCUCCUGCAACCCGCCUCACCCAAUGUAGCGUGGAUCUGCUUUUUUUUCUAAAGUAUUUAUAUUUACUUCGGAUCUGGAACCCGUCAACUGAAGCUAGCCAGCUAACUACCAGCUAUCAGUCAGCAAACCAUUGCUAGCUGUCAUCAGCUAACCUUUAGCUCGGAAAGCUCUCGCCAGUUCGAACAACGCAACUCUAACCAGAGCAUAACGGACCUAUUAUUUUUAGUUCCGCAUACGGAACAUUUUCAACUGGAUCUUCACAACUAGCUAACCGCAACCCCGGAUGACUACUCCUGGCUAGCAUUUCCAUCCACUUAGGUUGAAGCUAGCCCGGCCAGAGCUACUGUGCUACUCCUGGGCUACAAUAUCCGGACAUCUUCUACAGCCGGUACGGGGCAUGGAACCCCGCAGAUCCCCUACGUCAGGAAUACUGACAUAAUCUGCCCGAGGACUCAGGCGCGACGCCUGUUGAAGGCCCAUUAUGCUAACCAGCUAGGCCUGCUUAGCUACCUAGAGCUAUUUGGAAUCCUACUAAUUCCAUGACCAGUCUAUCGACAUCACCGCAUGAAGAGGCAUAAACAGACUUAACUACAUCGUGACUUUCCCCAAAGGCUAACUUUCUAGCCCUUGCUAUCUGCUUGCUUGCUAAUUCGGCCUGCUAAAUGCUAGCCUGCCCGGGUCUACUAACUGCUAGCUUGUUUAGCCCCGGUAUGCUAACUGCUAGCUUGUUUAGCCCCGGCCUACUAACUGUUAGCUUGUUAGCACAGGCUUGCUAACUGUCUGAAUCGCCGUGUCCCCAGCCAGCCCAACCACUCACUGGACCCAUAUUUAUUUUCAAUCUCUUUUCGAUUUUUAAUUUGAUUAUACCUUCCAGUAACCUGCCUCACCCAAUGUGAUACGGAAUCGCUAUUAUUUUUAACUUUAGAACACAUUCAAGAACCUCCAGAAGCUAACCCGCUAACUAGCUACAAGCUAUUUAGUCAUUGUUAGCCACUGCUAUUACCUUCUGCACAGCCAGCCAGUUUUUUCAGCCUGGAUAAUACUCGCCAGUCUACCAGUAUCGAACUGUCUCUCCACAACAACGCUGGAUUCUUGCCGUAAUGGACCACUACUUCUGAUCUUCACAGCUAGCUUGCACCCAGUACCGAAGCUAUCCCUGAGGCCCACUUCCCGGCCUACUCAGCUGUUCACCCGAACCACACUCAUACAUGGCUAGAGCCCAAUACUCCACCGGAUACUUGCUGUAAACUCUGGACCUUGGCUAACGCCACUGCCACGAAGCUAGCACCAGUUAGCCGUGAGCCAGGCACAUCUCCCUGCUAGCAGGCACAUCUCCCUGCCAACCCCCUACCACCCCCGGGCUACUAACUUUAAACACUGUGUCGCUAGCAUAGUGGCGACUUCCCUCUCCCAUCUACUGCUGCCCCCUGGACACUGUGAUCACUUGGCUACAUAGCUGAUGCCUGCUGGACUGUCCAUUAUUCAUGGACCUGAGCCCUAGGACCAUGCCCCAGGACUACCUGACAUGAUGACUCCUUGCUGUCCCCAGUCCACCUGACCGUGCUGCUGCUCCAGUUUCAACUGUUCUGCCUUAUUAUUAUACGACCAUGUUGGUCAUUUAUGAACAUUUGAACAUCUUGGCCAUGUUCUGUUAUAAUCUCCACCCGGCACAGCCAGAAGAGGACUGUCCACCCCACAUAGCCUGGUUCCUCUCUAGGUUUCUUCCUAGGUUUUGGCCUUUCUAGGGAGUUUUUCCUAGCCACCGUGCUUCUACACCUGCAUUGCUUGCUGUUUGGGGUUUUAGGCUGGGUUUCUGUACAGCACUUUGAGAUAUCAGCUGAUGUACGAAGGGCUAUAUACAUAAAUUUGAUUUGAUUUUGAUUUGAUAUUGGAGGUAUGCGACAUUAUUCUUCCACAAGAAAUUCCAUAAUUUGGUGUUUUGUUGAUGGUGGUGAAAAACGUUGUCUCAGGAGCCGCUCCAGAAUCUCCCAUAACUGUUCAAUUGGGUUGAGACCUGGUGACUGAGACGGCCGUGGCAGAUGGUUUACAUCGUUUUCAUGCUCAUCAAACCAUGCAGUGACCUCUCGUGCCCUGUGGGGGCAUUGUCAUCCUAUCCCACUGGGCACACACUGGUUGAAUCAACGUUGUUUCCAC
This is a long non-coding RNA of Oncorhynchus tshawytscha (Chinook salmon), 2283 nucleotides long. The record is from Ensembl. Lineage: Eukaryota; Metazoa; Chordata; Actinopteri; Salmoniformes; Salmonidae.